UCCUCAAUGAUAGUACACCACUGUUUACGAUUUGGUAUGUUUGCUUUCAGCCAGUUCUUAGUGAUAGCCUUCUUACUCGCUGUAAGCAAAAUCUUUACUAGAUAUUGGUCGUCUUUGGAAACAUAUUCUUCCAAAUCUCCUAGGUAUAGGACCUUACAUGUAAAUGGAAUUGCAUAACCCAAGAUCUCACUUAAAGCGACGUGUACCUCUCUCCAAAAAGGCUCUAUAUUCUUACAGCUCCAAAAAAUGUCGUGUAGGGAAAGAGUGUG
This is a long non-coding RNA of Alosa sapidissima (American shad), 269 nucleotides long. RefSeq lists it as uncharacterized. The record is from RefSeq and is a predicted model, not a curated record. NCBI's taxonomy places the organism in Eukaryota, Metazoa, Chordata, Actinopteri, Clupeiformes, Clupeidae. The transcript is spliced from 3 exons.